Molecule: ribosomal RNA, 253 nt
Filed under: uncultured bacterium
Lineage: Bacteria
Description: partial 16S ribosomal RNA
Rfam family: Bacterial small subunit ribosomal RNA
Source: RNAcentral
UACGGGGGGGGCAAGCGUUGUUCGGAAUUACUGGGCGUAAAGGGUUCGUAGGUGGCCAACUAAGUCACACGUGAAAUCCCCAGGCUUAACCUGGGAACUGCGUGUGAUACUGGAUGGCUUGAAUCCGGGAGAGGGAUGCGGAAUUCCAGGUGUAGCGGUGAAAUGCGUAGAUAUCUGGAGGAACACCGGUGGCGAAGGCGGCAUCCUGGACCGGUAUUGACGCUGAUGAGCGAAAGCCAGGGGAGCAAACGGG